Molecule: ribosomal RNA, 468 nt
Filed under: uncultured bacterium
Lineage: Bacteria
Description: partial 16S ribosomal RNA
Rfam family: Bacterial small subunit ribosomal RNA
Source: RNAcentral
GACGAACGCUGGCGGCGUGCUUAACACAUGCAAGUCGAACGGAAAGGCCCUGCUUUUGUGGGGUGCUCGAGUGGCGAUCGGGUGAGUAACACGUGAGUAACCUGCCCUUGACUUUGGGAUAACUUCAGGAAACUGGGGCUAAUACCGGAUAGGAGCUCCUGCUGCAUGGUGGGGGUUGGAAAGUUUCGGCGGUUGGGGAUGGACUCGCGGCUUAUCAGCUUGUUGGUGGGGGAGUGGCAUACCAAGGCUUUGACGGGUAGCCGGCCUGGGAGGGUGACCGGCCACAUUGGGACUGAGAUACGGACCAGACUCCUACGGUGGGCAGAAGUGGGGAAUAUUGCACAGUGGGCGGAAGCCUGUUGCAGCAACGCCGCGUGCGUGAUGACGGCCUUCGGGUUGUAAACCGCUUUCGCCUGUGACGAAGCGUGAGUGACGGUAAUGGGUAAAGAAGCACCGGCUAACUACGUG